GGGUCCCGGGAUCACCGAUGGCCAGAACGGACUCGCUGAUCGCCCAACUUCAUCCUCCUCCUCCUCAGGCCUGUCAAACAUCGUGGAGGACAUCGUCACUGGGCUGCUCUGGACAGUGGCCCCGGCGUGCACUCCGCCCGACGGCACCGGCCCUGCUGGAGAGCUGGACAGGCCGCCCAGCCUGCUCUGUGUGCUCAGUUACCUCAGACAGCGGCAGGACAGGCCCAGGAGGAGCGUCCCGGGGACACGCCUGUGGGUCGUGUGGAAGCCCCUGUGCUGUUGACACGUGCGAGACAAUAUUCAGACCCCCCGAAUCAGAAAAACUGAAACAGGUUCCGCUCUCAAAUAACACUAUAAAAAGAAGAAUUUUACUUUGCUAUUCCUCUGGUCCCGGUUCCAUUCUCCUGGGAUAACAUCUGUGACUCCUGGAAAACUAGCCAUCCAGGAGAUGUACGAGAAAGAUAUAACUGGCCCUUUGGCAAUAGUGUUACUCUAGGGGGGUGGAAUAUGCCCCCAUAUGAUGAGGAACGUAAGACAGGGAAUGUUCUGAAUUUAAAGUAAGCAUUUAGAAGAAGUACAUGUACUUAUACAGUUACUUGUAAUCAUAAUGCUACCCUGCGGAUACUUAACUACUCAUCCUCCUAAUGAAGAGAGAUAUACCAGAAGGGGAAGAUUCUGGGGCAGUGCCGCCCCGCUCGUCUCCGGAGCCGGAUCAACAGUGGCGUCGCCCCGGCGGUCAGACCCGCCCGCCCGCAUGGCGACGGGGCACAAGCGAUCGCGGCUGCAGGCGGCCUUCCCGUCUCCCUCCAGGACCACACUCCCGGAGGAACGGGCAGUCUGGAGCAGGAAUUUCUAAGAGGGGGCAAAAGAUUCAAUUCCCUGUAAGGAAUCCUGGGGAGCGGAAAAAACUUGGAAUUCCUUCCUGAGAUCCUUGCGCUUGCUGCCUUCAGCGGGAAGGGAGACGGGAUUCAGCUGCAGAGCACGGGAGGUCCACUCUGCCCUCAGGAUGCGACAGUGCGGACUGUGUCGUUUUAGCAGACUGUAGACUCCACUUAGUCGAAUAUUCAGCCGACUCGACUGACGAUUUAAAAAGCACAGCUUUGGUUGUGAAAGUUUGUUCCUCUUGGUUGUGAAGUAAAAUCCACUCUGCACCUCUCUGGCCCAACACUGCUCCUGCAACACAAAACACACGAGUUAUUCUUCCUCGGAAACAUGGGGCGCAGCUUCCCUGUCGACAGCGGAGUCUAACUCCCUGGACUGGCUGUGAAAGCGAACAGAGACAGUCCGUGGCCAGCAGCUGGCCGGUCUCCCAGAAGCAUGCGAGACGCGCAGGAUCUUGUGUUUGUGCGUUUCUACUGGGCACUGAGGCCGCACAGCUCUGUCGGACAUCACGCACAGCUGCGCAACGCAAAACAAUAAAACUCACACAGGGACACAGGGAUCGCAUCUUGUUUGUGCAUCAGAGAUAAAGAGUGUUCUAAAACCAGUCCCAGUCCCAGUCGUGCUCAGACCUGCAGUGUCCGACUGUUCUGGACACAGAGGACACAGAGUUAACUCUUGAAAGACACGGCAGGCUGUAUAACUGCUGCACUCUGCAGGUGU
This is a long non-coding RNA of Lepisosteus oculatus (spotted gar), 1602 nucleotides long. Lineage: Eukaryota; Metazoa; Chordata; Actinopteri; Semionotiformes; Lepisosteidae. The record is from Ensembl.